RNAcentral lists this transfer RNA (73 nucleotides) under Camelus bactrianus (Bactrian camel). It matches the Rfam family "tRNA". From Rfam's summary of the family: Transfer RNA (tRNA) molecules are approximately 80 nucleotides in length. Their secondary structure includes four short double-helical elements and three loops (D, anti-codon, and T loops). Further hydrogen bonds mediate the characteristic L-shaped molecular structure. tRNAs have two regions of fundamental functional importance: the anti-codon, which is responsible for specific mRNA codon recognition, and the 3' end, to which the tRNAs corresponding amino acid is attached (by aminoacyl-tRNA synthetases). tRNAs cope with the degeneracy of the genetic code in two manners: having more than one tRNA (with a specific anti-codon) for a particular amino acid; and 'wobble' base-pairing, i.e. permitting non-standard base-pairing at the 3rd anti-codon position. The record is from Rfam by way of RNAcentral. RNAcentral also lists the same sequence under 1 other name. Lineage: Eukaryota; Metazoa; Chordata; Mammalia; Artiodactyla; Camelidae.
GUGUGUAUAGCUCAAGUGGUAGAGCACAUGCUUAGCAUACAUGAGGUCCUGGGUUCAAUCCCCAGUACCUCCU